Molecule: ribosomal RNA, 406 nt
Filed under: uncultured bacterium
Lineage: Bacteria
Description: partial 16S ribosomal RNA
Rfam family: Bacterial small subunit ribosomal RNA
Source: RNAcentral
AUUGAACGCUGGCGGCAGGCCUAACACAUGCAAGUCGAACGAGUGGCGGACGGGUGAGUAAUGUCUGGGAAACUGCCUGAUGGAGGGGGAUAACUACUGGAAACGGUAGCUAAUACCGCAUACCAUCGGAUGUGCCCAGAUGGGAUUAGCUCGUAGGUGGGGUAAUGGCUCACCUAGGCGACGAUCCCUAGCUGGUCUGAGAGGAUGACCAGCAACACGGGAACGGAGACAAGGGCCAGACUCCUACGGGAGGCAGCAGUGGGGAAUAUUGCACAAUGGGCGCAAGCCUGAUGCAGCCAGGCCGCGUGUAUGAAGAAGGCCUUCGGGUUGUAAAGUACUUUCAGCGGGGAGGCGUUACCCGCAGAAGAAGCACAGGCUAACUCCGUGCCAGCAGCCGCGGUAAUAC